GAACAGCCCUCUUUAAUCUAAAUUUUCUCCUCUAAAAUUCAGCCUGCUGAAUCUAAACGAAGCCUGCAUCGCGAUUAAUACUUGAUCUUUUUCCUUGAUCUUCUUCUUCUUCUCUUCUCUAGAGUUUCUCCUUACUGUGUGCUGCUACCAGAUGUUAGAAACCAACAAGGAAUAGGCACCCAACAGCCUUGGGCAUGGAAUAUCUUGGGAUGCGCAUCCCAAGAGAAGGGGCAUGUAUAACGCCCAAGAGAGAAGGGAAAAAGGGAGGAAGAGAGGGUGUGGAUGUAGCAAAAAUUUUGUGCAGGGGCAAAAUGGUAAUUUUAAAUUUUUUUCAAAAUUACUAUUUUACAGUGAAAUUAUUAAUUAAUCUCAUUAAUUAAUACUAAUUAACCCUAUACUAGGAUCUAAAAAUAUGAUACAACAGCAUGCAUUUAAAUUUGAAAUUCAAAUUUGAAUCAGUAAACCUUUUACAGUACUGUGUUCAGAAUACAUCACCUUUUGCGGGUAGUCGAUCACCGC
Molecule: long non-coding RNA, 519 nt
Filed under: Elaeis guineensis (African oil palm)
Lineage: Eukaryota; Viridiplantae; Streptophyta; Magnoliopsida; Arecales; Arecaceae
Description: long non-coding RNA (EGUI_LNC038906)
Source: RNAcentral